CCGGUCACUAUGCUGGGUCAGGCAGCGCCAACGACCUGCCCAGGUUCCGCUUCCUAUGCAAGGCCAACGUCGCCGCCAUGGAGGUGGCCCUCAGGAUCGCCAACGUCAACCCUUACAAGGUGGUAAGUCCUGACGGUUUCAGUUACCAGAAGUUGCAACAUUCGUAUACUUGCUUUCCAGCAUUUCAGUUUUGUGUCUGACCGUCAACUAACGAAAAGGCGCUUACUUACCGCAGAUUAUUUUUCGGCGACAGCGUGCACAACAUUCAGGCAAGCAUGGGAUUGGCCUCCAAAGAGUGCUGGUAAGUCAUUGCUUGACAUGCAAACCCUUCACACAGUAAUGGAUGCAAUGGGUGCUGGCAUUGUGAUAUUCAUUAGCUUAAAAUCCUAGCCUGAGAAAGCUAAUUUAGCACAAAGUUUAUGAAUUAUGUUCCUUACUCUAUUAGAGAAGAAUGUGUUGAUUAAUAUCCCUCACUGCCUUUUAAGUCUUUCAUUUCUCCAUGGCAACGCAUGUGCGUAGUGCUGUCGUGGUAGAGCGUGGGAUGAAAGGUGGGUCCAGUAAUAAAACCAGGAGGUACUACCGCCCUUGUCCCUUGCUGUUAGCCUGGCACGAUGGUGUCAUGGGCGGCGCUUCGUCCCCCUAGAUGGCGACCGCGGAUCGACACAAACAGGAGGGGAGGGGUUGGCAGGGGACUCCUUGACGGUCCGUGAGCAAGAACAUUGUGAGGAAGAAAGGGCAUCACAGCGAAGGUGAGGUGGGCAUCAACGACGCAGCCAGGCCCCGGGCAACAGCAAGGGACCCCGCCUUAUCGCUCCAUGGCCUCGUGGCCGAGGGGCCAGGCGGGUCCUCACCGCCUUCCACACCAGUGGCAUGGACAGGGUGGUGUAUACCGGUUGAAUCUUGGAGUGAAUAAUUAGUUGUAGAAAUAAUUUCGUUCCUGCUGUGCAGUUGCAAAUUUUUAUUGUCCAUCAGUUGUAAUUAGUUGUAGAUAAUUUUUUCACACAAAUGAGUUAUUUUAAUUUUUACUGUUGGGUCAGUAAGUUAUAUUCUUUUUAAAAUUGUAUCAGAACACAGUCAUAGGCCACAUGCGGCGUACAUGUUGUCAAUUACAAUGAUAUUUUGAUCAAUAUCUAUAUAUCUAAGUUCGUUGUAGUUA
This 1156-nucleotide long non-coding RNA is filed under the name Triticum aestivum (bread wheat). Its description in RNAcentral is "long non-coding RNA (TAES_LNC009748)". Lineage: Eukaryota; Viridiplantae; Streptophyta; Magnoliopsida; Poales; Poaceae. The record is from RNAcentral.